This 67-nucleotide transfer RNA is filed under the name Rhabdoblatta atra. RNAcentral's name for it is "tRNA-Ser". Lineage: Eukaryota; Metazoa; Arthropoda; Insecta; Blattodea; Blaberidae. The record is from RNAcentral.
GAAAUAUGGUAUUCAAGUGAAAGCUGCUAACUUAUCACUUUAGCGGUUAAAUUCCGUUUAUAUUUCU